This 484-nucleotide ribosomal RNA is filed under the name uncultured bacterium. RNAcentral's name for it is "partial 16S ribosomal RNA". It matches the Rfam family "Bacterial small subunit ribosomal RNA", at positions 30 to 507 of the family's 1533-position model. The record is from RNAcentral.
AUUGAACGCUGGCGGCAGGCCUAACACAUGCAAGUCGAGCGGAUGAAGGGAGCUUGCUCCUGGAUUCAGCGGCGGACGGGUGAGUAAUGCCUAGGAAUCUGCCUGGUAGUGGGGGAUAACGUCCGGAAACGGGCGCUAAUACCGCAUACGUCCUGAAGGAGAAAGUGGGGGAUCUUCGGACCUCACGCUAUCAGAUGAGCCUAGGUCGGAUUAGCUAGUUGGUGGGGUAAAGGCCUACCAAGGCGACGAUCCGUAACUGGUCUGAGAGGAUGAUCAGUCACACUGGAACUGAGACACGGUCCAGACUCCUACGGGAGGCAGCAGUGGGGAAUAUUGGACAAUGGGCGAAAGCCUGAUCCAGCCAUGCCGCGUGUGUGAAGAAGGUCUUCGGAUUGUAAGGCACUUUAAGUUGGGAGGAAGGGCAGUAAGUUAAUACCUUGCUGUUUUGACGUUACCAACAGAAUAAGCACCGGCUAACUUCGUG